RNAcentral lists this ribosomal RNA (250 nucleotides) under uncultured bacterium. RNAcentral's name for it is "partial 16S ribosomal RNA". It matches the Rfam family "Bacterial small subunit ribosomal RNA", at positions 524 to 773 of the family's 1533-position model. The record is from RNAcentral.
UACGUAGGUGGCGAGCGUUGUCCGGAUUUAUUGGGUUUAAAGGGUGCGUAGGCGGCUCUAUAAGUCAGUGCUGAAAUAUCCCGGCUUAACCGGGAGGGUGGCAUUGAUACUGCAGAGCUUGAGUAAAGUUGAGGUGGGCGGAAUUGACGGUGUAGCGGUGAAAUGCUUAGAUAUCGUCAAGAACACCGAUUGCGAAGGCAGCUCACUAAGCUUUAACUGACGCUGAGGCACGAAAGUGUGGGGAUCAAAC